This 253-nucleotide ribosomal RNA is filed under the name uncultured bacterium. RNAcentral's name for it is "partial 16S ribosomal RNA". It matches the Rfam family "Bacterial small subunit ribosomal RNA", at positions 524 to 776 of the family's 1533-position model. The record is from RNAcentral.
UACGUAGGGGGCAAGCGUUGUCCGGAAUCAUUGGGCGUAAAGCGCGCGUAGGCGGCCAGAUAAGUCCGGUGUGAAAGUCACAGGCUCAACCUGUGAAUGCCGCUGGAGACUAUCUGGCUAGAGUCCGGAAGGGGCGAGUGGAAUUCCUGGUGUAGCGGUGAAAUGCGCAGAUAUCAGGAGGAACACCUAUGGCGAAGGCAGCUCGCUGGGACGGUACUGACGCUGAGGCGCGAAAGCGUGGGGAGCGAACAGG